CAUGAGAAAUCUCCUCGAUAUGAGAAGAAAAACUACGGAUUCGUAGAACACUCAAAAAUCCACUAUAACCACAUUCUUCAUGUUCAACAUGAGAACAAAUCCAGAGACUCUAGCUAUAAAGAGAUAUCUCCACAACAACAACAAGAGAGUAAUAAAAGAGAUCUAAAACGAGCAAUAACAAAGCGACCUUAGCUCACAAGAAUUCCGGAAACAAGAACUAAUCCCAAUGUACAAUCCAAGAUGAACAAGUACUUCUGCCAAAUCUCAGCUCAAAC
RNAcentral lists this long non-coding RNA (275 nucleotides) under Brassica napus (rape). RNAcentral describes it as "long non-coding RNA (BNAP_LNC019831)". The record is from RNAcentral. Lineage: Eukaryota; Viridiplantae; Streptophyta; Magnoliopsida; Brassicales; Brassicaceae.